This 466-nucleotide ribosomal RNA is filed under the name uncultured bacterium. RNAcentral describes it as "partial 16S ribosomal RNA". It matches the Rfam family "Bacterial small subunit ribosomal RNA", at positions 29 to 507 of the family's 1533-position model. The record is from RNAcentral.
AUGAACGCUGGCGGCGUGCUUCACACAUGCAAGUCGAACGGAAAGGCUCCUGCUUGCAGGGGUACUCGAGUGGCGAACGGGUGAGUAACACGUGGGUGAUCUGCCCUGCACUUCGGGAUAAGCCUGGGAAACUGGGUCUAAUACCGGAUAGGACCACAUUUUGGAUGGUGUGGUGGAAAGUUUUUCGGUGUGGGAUGAGCUCGCGGCCUAUCAGCUUGUUGGUGGGGUAAUGGCCUACCAAGGCGUCGACGGGUAGCCGGCCUGAGAGGGUGUACGGCCACAUUGGGACUGAGAUACGGCCCAGACUCCUACGGGAGGCAGCAGUGGGGAAUAUUGCACAAUGGGCGCAAGCCUGAUGCAGCGACGCCGCGUGGGGGAUGACGGCCUUCGGGUUGUAAACUCCUUUCGCUAGGGACGAAGCGUUUUUGUGACGGUACCUGGAGAAGAAGCACCGGCUAACUACGUG